RNAcentral lists this unclassified non-coding RNA (3295 nucleotides) under Leishmania donovani. Its description in RNAcentral is "LdHU3.18.1110". The record is from RNAcentral. Lineage: Eukaryota; Euglenozoa; Kinetoplastea; Trypanosomatida; Trypanosomatidae.
CACCUCAUCCUACAGCUGCGCCCCUCCCCAUCAAAACGGAUCAGCGCGGACACGGCAAGUGCGUCAUCUUCACGGAUUCCAAGCCCACACCGCUUUAUCCCCAAUCACGUAAACGAAAUUGGGACGAGCACACGCGCACACAGACUCACACACACCUGUGCAUGUGUGCAUCGGUGAGAACGGCACUCACAGGCCGAAAGCCCGAGUUUUUCUUUCCUUAUCCGCUUGCGUAUUGAGCCAAGGCACCUCAACUGAAGCCUGAAAAAGCGGAGCGAAGAACAUCCAGCUUCAGGCACGUGUGCGCGCUCGUUGGCCGUGAUCUCCUCUCUCUUCCGACUCUCCACCGCCCUGCACUCAGUCACACAAGAGCAACGAUGCCGCGGGUGUCGCAGCCGUUGCCCACGGCGGGUGACUACCUCGUCACGACGUUUGCAGACAUGAUGCAUGCGCCAUCCUUCCGCAAGCACGUGUGGGCGAAGAUGCAGCAGACGGAGCGGCGUCGACUGGAAGCACUGCGGCUGCAAGCGCUCUAUGGCGAUGCCCCAGUGACGUCGGCUGCGUCUGGAGGAGCCGCCGAUGCUGCCAGCGGAGCAACAGCAGCCGGCACCGUGGACGUAGAGAGCGAGUCAACAGCCCAAACUUCGUCGCGGGAAACAUCCUCAUCCUCCGCCGCCCCCGGUAGCGCAGAUAGUACGGCGCACCCUACCUCGCGCGCAACGGCAGUGAAGAAGACGCCGCCCGCGUCCUUCAGUGGGAGGUCUUCGUCCACCUCGCGGCCGCCGGCACCGCUGCGGUGGUUCGACGUUGCCGGACGUGCCCGAUACUCGGCGUGGGUGGCGCUGCGCGGCCGCAUGUCGGCCGACGUCUCCGCCGAGUGCUUCUGUGCCGAGUUUCUCGGCUUUAUAAAGAAGCACCCGCAUCCGACGCUGCUGCCCCUCGUUGAGGCCGCCCUAAGCACUGCCCACGGGCUUGCCCGUCGCAGCCGCGCCAUGCCUCCUUGUCUACUGGUGGCCCCAUCGGCCUGCACUGCUGCAGCGCACAGCACCGGCGCCGCCACCGCUCCGUCGUCGUCGUCGUCCACAGUGAUGCUUCAGGUACGCGCGUUGCAGGGAGACCCGGCUGCUCUUGCUCUUCUCUGGAUCUGCCGCGCCUAUCGACUGCCGUGCGAGUUCAUUGUUGAGCCGUUGUCCAAGGCCCUCAGGGCGCACACGACUGGCGCAUCCACGCGUGCCUCGUCAACGCGCGGUGUAAGGCGCGGCGAGGCCGCCGACAGCCGCCCCACUUCACCGCCCACCACCAACCCGUACCUGUCCUACACCAUGGCGGAUGCGUGCUACCCGUUCACUGUAUCGCUGAUGCAGCCCAGCGGUGCUGCCGCAGGGGCGUCGCCACCGACAGUGGCUACGGCCGUCACCACACCGGAAGCGGCGUUCGUGUUACUGACGGACACGUUUCUUGCCGACUACCCGCAUUGGAUGGGGGUGCCCUCUGACCCGGUGAGCGCUGCAGCGCUGUCGCCGGCGUCGCGCCUGGUCCAGCGGUGCGCCUGGUUGGACGAGCUGCAGCACAUCACGCGCCACGUGCGGACACCGAUACUGGCUCUCCUGGUGCAUCAGGCUGCGCAGCCGCAGCGACUACGCCGUUUGAGCUCUUCCGCCGCUGCAGCGGAGCGUCGUCUUCUUCUCCGUGCCGUCGCGGCGCACCUGCACACCUAUGAGCGAUGGACGAUGGAUCGUGUGCUGUCCCGCCGCGUUCAUCAGGCCCAAAGUGUCCUCUCCCCGCUGCUGGCCUCCUCCGCGGUUGUCGACUGCCUCCGACACGCCUACGCGCCGGAUGCAAAGGUCGUCAGUGCGGCGGACACAUACGUGUCCAGCUGCGGCUACGCACUGUGCACACACCCCUUCUGCGCUGACGUGUUCCCGUUCCUGCGAGUGCCUCACGCGCCCGUGGCGACUCUGCACGACACAGUGCAAGCACAGUGGCCAUCCCCAGAGCAACCGCCGACGGGCAGUAUCACUGCCUCCUACGCGCCAUGGGCGCUGCCGCUGUACCUCUCCGGCGUCCCGGCGGAGUACAACAACACAAUCAACCGGCUCCUGCGCCGUGAAGCGAAUGGGGCCAUUCGGCAGGAGCAGCAUGCGCAGCCGGUGCGCCUGUUCAUCAACGACGAAAGCGAGGCGAAGGUCGGCCGCAGCCGAAGCGCCAGCGGUGGCAGUGGAUCCAGCGAAACGGUUGAGAUGACCACCACGGACUCACCGCAACAGCAGCAGCAGCAGCCGUGUCGGGCCGGCUACUACGUCAUCAGCGGGUCGAGUAUCACAAAGGAAGCGGCCGAGGCAGUCGAGCAGCUUAUGCUCGCUCGCAUGUUGUCCUUGCGCACGGAUGACUUGAACCCGGACUCUGGGGUUGCGGGAAGCACGAGCAGUGUGAGCGGGGUGCCGUUUCUUGUCCUUGGUCAUGUGUUUGCGCUGACGUGGGCCCUGUGUCAAGAGCAAGUGCCCGGAUUCCCGUACUUCAUGUUGGACGGCAACCCCCAUCACUAUGGCGGCUUCUCGUUCCUGUCCGAGGACGCGGCGAAGAAGCCAUCGACACACGGCACUGUGCGCGCACGAGGGAGGUUUCAAGCCGCGCUGUCCCCUGCCCCGGCAAACGCGAUCAUGACCACAGCAGACCCCGGCGCCUCGAUGCUGCCAGCCAUUGUCGAGGGUGCGUCCGCUGUGGCCUCUGCCUCCAGCCAGGACGGCGGUGUGAGUCUUGAGUCGCGGCUCAGGUCCGGGUGGCAGGCUGUCACCGGCGCGCUCGCGAUGGGGGCUGCGCGGCUCUCUGGAGUGCGCCGCUCUGAGGCGGAGCCGACGGGCAGCGGUGGGGGCGGCAAGCAAUGCGCUGGUGCGCACGCGACCCAAAUUCUGCGCGGUGAGGAGGACUCCAUCGGUGCGGCCCCCUCAACGACGGCCGGCGCAGUCGUGGCGACGUCGCGGCUAUGACGUGCGCGUGCGUGUGCGCUUGAUGAGGGCGCGUGGCAUGCGAAAGGGCUGAAAAGAGAAGAACGAAUAAGGGAGACACAGUCCCGGGCACCGACGGCCCCAUGCGGCAUCACCGUCGUCGUCAGGCAGCGCCAGAUGUGGUCAGGGCGAGUGGGGAAGGGCAGGGGACGUGAGGGGCUCUCCGUCUCGUCUUCGGUCUCUCCGUUGGCCACGUCGAUGUAACGGCAUGUUUUGUAUGUCCUGCUCACAUGUGCCUCAUUCCCUUCUCAUCCCCCGCCCCUCUCUCUUUACACGGGUGCACACACGCUUAG